CGCCUCUUGGCCCCCCCCCUCAUAAGAGGUCAAACCUGCCCAGUGACCACGUGUUCAACGGCCGCGGUAUCUUGACCGUGCAAAGGUAGCGUAAUCAUUUGUCUUUUAAAUGAAGACCUGUAUGAAUGGUUUAACGAGGGCUUAACUGUCUCCUUCCCCCAGUCAAUGAAAUUGACCUCCCCGUGCAGAGGCGGGGAUCCCCACAUAAGACGAGAAGACCCUGUGGAGCUUUUAAAUACAAGUCAAAGCCAAGUCUAUAAGCACUAAUAAAACGUAAAACACAUUGGCCUAGGACAAUAUUUUAGGUUGGGGCGACCCUGGGGAAUACAAAACCCCCAUGUGGAAUAAGCCCACGUUAAAACACACACCGGGCUUUAAGACAAAGAAAGACACUUCUAAUCAGCAGAAUUUCUGACCUAGUGGAUCCGGCACGACCGAUCAACGAACCAAGUUACCCCAGGGAUAACAGCGCAAUCCCCUUCUAGAGCCCCUAUCGACAAGGGGGUUUACGACCUCGAUGUUGGAUCAGGACAUCCUAGUGAUGAAGCCAUUAUUAAGGGUUCGUUUGUUCAACGAUUAAAGUCCU
Molecule: ribosomal RNA, 586 nt
Filed under: Symphurus plagiusa (blackcheek tonguefish)
Lineage: Eukaryota; Metazoa; Chordata; Actinopteri; Pleuronectiformes; Cynoglossidae
Description: partial 16S ribosomal RNA
Rfam family: Bacterial large subunit ribosomal RNA
Source: RNAcentral